AAAAAUUGGAACGAUACAGAGAAGAUUAGCAUGGGCCCUGUGCAAGGAUGACAUGCAAAUUCGUGAAGCGUUCCAUAUAAAA
RNAcentral lists this small nuclear RNA (82 nucleotides) under Panthera pardus (leopard). The record is from RNAcentral. Lineage: Eukaryota; Metazoa; Chordata; Mammalia; Carnivora; Felidae.